UGAAGAGAGCAGUGGUUCUCCCAGCAUGGCAUUCAAGCUCCGAUAACAGACAAACUGCCUCCUCAAGUGGGUCCCUGACUCCCUUGUAGCCUGCCUGGGAGACACCUCCCAGUAGGGGCCGACAGACACCUCAUACUGACGGGUGCCCCUCUGGGACGAAGCUUCCAGAGGAAGGAUCAGACAGCAAUAUUUGCUGUUCUGCAGCCUCCGCUGGUGAUACCCAGGCAAACA
RNAcentral lists this long non-coding RNA (231 nucleotides) under Pan troglodytes (chimpanzee). RNAcentral's name for it is "long non-coding RNA NONPTRT002609". The record is from RNAcentral. Lineage: Eukaryota; Metazoa; Chordata; Mammalia; Primates; Hominidae.